RNAcentral lists this ribosomal RNA (497 nucleotides) under uncultured bacterium. RNAcentral's name for it is "partial 16S ribosomal RNA". It matches the Rfam family "Bacterial small subunit ribosomal RNA", at positions 28 to 507 of the family's 1533-position model. The record is from RNAcentral.
GAUGAACGCUGGCGGCGUGCCUAAUACAUGCAAGUCGAGCGAACAGACGAGGAGCUUGCUCCUCUGACGUUAGCGGCGGACGGGUGAGUAACACGUGGAUAACCUACCUAUAAGACUGGGAUAACUUCGGGAAACCGGAGCUAAUACCGGAUAAUAUAUUGAACCGCAUGGUUCAAUAGUGAAAGACGGUUUUGCUGUCACUUAUAGAUGGAUCCGCGCCGCAUUAGCUAGUUGGUAAGGUAACGGCUUACCAAGGCAACGAUGCGUAGCCGACCUGAGAGGGUGAUCGGCCACACGGGAAGUGAGACACGGUCCAGACUCCUACGGGAGGAAGCAGUAGGGAAUCUUCCGCAAUGGGCGAGAGCCUGACGGAGCAACGCCGCGUGAGUGAUGAAGGUCUUCGGAUCGUAAAACUCUGUUAUUAGGGAAGAACAAAUGUGUAAGUAACUAUGCACGUCUUGACGGUACCUAAUCAGAAAGCCACGGCUAACUACGUG